Molecule: ribosomal RNA, 444 nt
Filed under: uncultured Bacillota bacterium
Lineage: Bacteria; Bacillati; Bacillota
Description: bacterial SSU rRNA
Rfam family: Bacterial small subunit ribosomal RNA
Source: RNAcentral
AGCAUGUGGUUUAAUUCGAAGCAACGCGAAGAACCUUACCAGGUCUUGACAUCCUUUUGAAUGGUCUAGAGAUAGAUCAGGCCUUCGGGACAGAAGAGACAGGUGGUGCAUGGUUGUCGUCAGCUCGUGUCGUGAGAUGUUGGGUUAAGUCCCGCAACGAGCGCAACCCUUAUCAUUAGUUGCUAACAUUCAGUUGAGAACUCUAAUGAGACUGCCAGUGAUAAACUGGAGGAAGGUGGGAUGACGUCAAAUCAUCAUGCCCCUUAUGACCUGGGCUACACACGUGCUACAAUGGCCGGUACAAAGAGUUGCGAAACUGUGAGGUUAAGCUAAUCUCAUAAAGCCGGUCUCAGUUCGGAUUGUAGUCUGCAACUCGACUACAUGAGGUCGGAAUCGCUAGUAAUCGCGAAUCAGAAUGUCGCGGUGAAUACGUUCUCGAGUCUU